CCUACGGGAGGCAGCAGUGGGGAAUAUUGGACAAUGGGCGCAAGCCUGAUCCAGCAAUGCCGCGUGAGUGAUGAAGGCCUUCGGGUCGUAAAGCUCUUUUACCCGGGAUGAUAAUGACAGUACCGGGAGAAUAAGCUCCGGCUAACUCCGUGCCAGCAGCCGCGGUAAUACGGAGGGAGCUAGCGUUGUUCGGAAUUACUGGGCGUAAAGCGCACGUAGGCGGUUAUUCAAGUCAGAGGUGAAAGCCCGGGGCUCAACCCCGGAACUGCCUUUGAAACUAGAUGACUAGAAUCUUGGAGAGGUCAGUGGAAUUCCGAGUGUAGAGGUGAAAUUCGUAGAUAUUCGGAAGAACACCAGUGGCGAAGGCGACUGACUGGACAAGUAUUGACGCUGAGGUGCGAAAGCGUGGGAGCAAACAGGAUUAGAUACCCUGGUAGUCCACGCCGUAAACGAUGAUAACUAGCUGUCCGGGUACUUGGUAUUUGGGUGGCGCAGCUAACGCAUUAAGUUAUCCGCCUGGGGAGUACGGUCGCAAGAUUAAAACUCAAAUGAAAUUGAACGG
This 562-nucleotide ribosomal RNA is filed under the name uncultured bacterium. Its description in RNAcentral is "bacterial SSU rRNA". It matches the Rfam family "Bacterial small subunit ribosomal RNA", at positions 338 to 917 of the family's 1533-position model. The record is from RNAcentral.